UGCAAGUCGAACGCUUCUUUUUCCACCGGAGCUUGCUCCACCGGAAAAAGAGGAGUGGCGAACGGGUGAGUAACACGUGGGUAACCUGCCCAUCAGAAGGGGAUAACACUUGGAAACAGGUGCUAAUACCGUAUAACAAUCGAAACCGCAUGGUUUUGAUUUGAAAGGCGCUUUCGGGUGUCGCUGAUGGAUGGACCCGCGGUGCAUUAGCUAGUUGGUGAGGUAACGGCUCACCAAGGCGACGAUGCAUAGCCGACCUGAGAGGGUGAUCGGCCACAUUGGGACUGAGACACGGCCCAAACUCCUACGGGAGGCAGCAGUAGGGAAUCUUCGGCAAUGGACGAAAGUCUGACCGAGCAACGCCGCGUGAGUGAAGAAGGUUUUCGGAUCGUAAAACUCUGUUGUUAGAGAAGAACAAGGAUGAGAGUAACUGUUCAUC
This 439-nucleotide ribosomal RNA is filed under the name uncultured bacterium. RNAcentral's name for it is "bacterial SSU rRNA". It matches the Rfam family "Bacterial small subunit ribosomal RNA", at positions 56 to 470 of the family's 1533-position model. The record is from RNAcentral.